UUUUUUAUUUGUCAAAAUGAAUAGGAAUAGCAGGGUGCCUUUAAAGUAUAAUCGAAAGAGUUGGUAAAUUUUAAUAUACUUCUGAAAGAAUCAUCAUCCUUUUGUCAUUAUCUUUUUCAUGUAUUGAACAACAGAUUUGCACAUAUGUAUUUUUACCAUCAGUAACAGCUCUUUAUUAACGGAUAGUAUAUUGUUCUGCUUUUAUGUAGGGGGAUGUUGAGUUGUAAGAAGACCAGAUGCAUCUGCUCUGAUUUUAGUGGCAUGUAUAACUAUAACCUGUCAAAGAGCAGCAAAAGAAAUGCCUCGUAGCUGUGUGAUACAUAACUUUGCCAGGAUAUCUCUCUGUUUAUGCACACAGACUGCUAUGGCAUUUUUAACCGUUUGCUCAGUUGCUCUUACGUGCAUUUCUGCUGGCAUAAGAUGGUGGCAUGGUGGAGGUUCUGUUGUUAAACCCUGGUAUCAGGACUUGAUCGAGCAAUUUGGUAUGUUCGGUGAAAAUUCAUGCUCAUUUGAGUGAUUGUACAGUACUCCGAAGUUGGUGUUUUCUAUGCUCCGGUAAUUGUGGAUCACUGGUAUAAUGAGGAAAUCAACCUAACGUAUAAUUGCCAUGGUCUGUAUUUGUGUGUAUGUGGAGACUGGUGUGUGUACUAAUUUUCUGGAAUGUCAUUUAAUCAGAAGAGUUGUUUAGAAGAGGCAUAGGCAAAUUCUCUUGUAAGGCUUAUGUAGUUCGAGUGUUUAACAUGGUUAUAACAGUAGUGUUUUCUAUGACGACAUUUAUGAUUAAACUGUGUCUACAAUUCCUGCCUUUUGUGCAGAAAAAGAAAAGCACUGAUAAAACAUCCUAGAGUUGAGUGCAUUGCGCUGCUGCGACUGAUUCUAAAAGCUUGACAGCAAGAGUUAGAAUAGAGCAAUAUUCUGCAUAAUUUUCCUGCAUCUGUGAAUUUUGCUACUCUUGUACUCCCUCCGUCCCAAAAUAUAACAAUUUUUACUUAGAUGGGAUGUAUCAUAUUACUACGAAUCUAGAUAUGAGACAUGUCCAAAUUCAUAGUAGUAGGAUAUGUCCCAUCUUAAAAAAAUAUAUAUUAUAUUUUGGGAGGGAGAGAGUAAAACAUGUGCUCGGGUGUGCAAACCUGACAGCCAUUAUGGCUCUGAUAACUCAUGCUCCCUCCGUCUCACGAUAUAAGGGAUUUUCAGUUUUUGCUUGUAACGUUUGACCACUCGUCUUAUUCAAAUUUUUUUUGCAAAUAUAAAAAAUAAAAAGUUGUGCUUAAAGUACUAUAGAUAAUAAAGUAAGUCACAAAUAAAAUAAUUAAUAAUUUCAAAAAAAUUUGAAUAAGAUGAGUGGUCAAACGUUACAAGCAAAAACUCAAAAUCUCUUAUAUUAUGGGACGGAGGGGGUAGUUGCUAUGCCUAUAUUUUGUCGGGUGAGCUGGUGGUGGUACGUUUGGUUUAGGGUUUAGAGCUGACUCUGGUGGAGACCCUUUCGGGACGUUGCAUCAGCUACAGCCUACAGGGUUGCGCGUUUGUUGGGCCGAAUAUUGAAGUGCGUGGGCCGUGGGCCGUGGCCAGGACGGCGGAUGGAUCAUCCUCGUGACGUAUCUCUUCCCCUCGACCAACAAUUAACGAGUUGCGGGUGGCGGCGUUGAAGCAGCUGGACUUUUUUUUUUUUUUUGCUAUAUAUAGGGCAUGUUUGGCACAAGCUUCAGCUCCACCUCUCUUAGAGCUGGAGCUCAGCCAAACAGUUUUAGCUCCACCUAAAAUGGGAGCAGAGCUGGGUGGAGCUCUCACAAAAUAAACUAGAGUUGUGGAGCUGGGUUUAGACAGCUCCACAACUCCACUCCAGACCCAACUCCUAGAGCUAAAUUUAGGAGUUGGAGCUCUAUCAAACAGGCCCAUAAAGUCAAUUUUGCUAUAUCUCACUCGAAAGAUUUCUUUUAUCUCUCACUCAAAUUUACAGUGUAUUUUCUUGUAAUUUAUGAAAUUUACAUGGUAACUUUUGUUUUGAAAUUUAUAUUGGAUUUGGUCUUUUUCUCGAAGAUAUGGUAAUUUAGUAUCCAUUAUGAUGUUUCUUAGUUGCUUUUUGCUUUUUACUAUGUCUAUUGGAUUUUAAUCUAAAAAUUUAAAAUAUGUGUGAAAAGAUUUAUAGCUACUCCCAUAUAAAGUUCUAUUUUUCUAACUUGCUGAUCUUGAGAUUUUUUUUCAUCGAAAUUUAUUUUUCAACAUUUGCUUUUAGAUCGCUAAGAACACAUAUAAAAGUUUUAUUUACAAAUUAUUUUUUGCUUGCAAAUAUGUCGGGCCCUUUUUUUGUUUUUGUUUUUAUCUUUAUAAUAUUCGUUGCAGUUUGCAAAACACGGGAAUUUAGAUAGUUAUGUAAAAGAUGUCAAAGAGACAUGAUGCGGUCUGACAGUCCAACGUAAGGAAGCUUCGUAGCGCAACUAUGGGGAUGUUCAUAAAUCUAGGUGAAAAGUUUUACCGUGUCACAUCGGAUAUAUGAGCACAUAUUUAAAUUAUUAAACAUAGUCUAAUAAUAAAACAACCUAUAGAUUCCGUCCGUAAACUGCGAGACGAAUUUAUUAAGCCUAAUUAAUCCAUCAAUAGUAAAUGUUUACUGUAGCACUACAUUAUCAAAUCAUGGAGCAAUUAAGCUUAAAAGAUUUGUCUCGUAAACUAGUCGCAAUUUGUGCCAUUAGUUAUUUUUUAGCCUAUAUUUAAUAUUUUAUGCAGGUAUUUAAACGUUCGAUGUGACAGGGCGAAAAAUUAUAAGGCGGGAUCUAAACAUGGCCUAUAUCAGUUGGCAUCGCACGUUUACAUCCUCGAGCAGUAGCACUGCAUGUCUGCAUGGCAGCUGGAGCAUCACUCGCCGGCAUCUACGUGCGCUUGAGCGAAUGCGUCCGGCAAUAUUAUGGAGUAAAAGAUUGCUUAUGUUGCCCCUCUUUGAUCAAAAAAUAGUUGGGUGUUUGGCUUAGGUAAAGUUGGUUUUAAAUUUUAGAAAUAAUUUUAAGGACCUUUCGGAAAACACAAGUACACAGAACAACCAGAACACAAGUAGAAAAGGCCACAUGAACCAGCUUUUAUAGAAAAAAACCAAAACAGGGUCACAACCACUUGAACGUUCACUGGAGAGGAGAGAUUCCCCAUCUAAAUUUCCAUUAAGGUCCUGUUUAGUUUUAAAGUUUUUUUUUUCCAAACUUUCAAUUUUUCAUCGCAUCAAACCUUUCAUACACCACUGGUGGACAAACCAUCUUUGGUCGGUCGACCAAAUCCCACAAUAGCCCUGGUUCCAUUAAAACCGGGACUAAAAACGAUUUUUAGUCCCGGUUAAAAAAAUUUUGAUCUUUAGUCCCGGUUGGUAACACCAACCGGAAUUAAAGAUGAUUUUUAGUCCCGGUUCAUCCCCUGUCAGAUGUAUGUUAGGGGGUCGAGGAUCUUUAGUCCCGGUUUAUACUACCAACCGGGACUAAAGAUUACCACUUUAGUCCCGGUUGGUAAAGAUCGAUUGAUCUUUACUCCCGGUUGGUGAUACCAACCGGGACUAAAGAUCGAUCUUUACUCCCGGUUGUAGUUAUCAACCGGGAGUAAAUAUUUCUCUCCCACAUCUGAUCGGUUAAGUCCAAACAGAUAGUUAGAUAAGAUUGGAAAUCCCCUCUAUUCCUCUUCUCAGAUCCAAUCCUCUUCCUCCUCCUCUCCCCUCUCUUCCUUCCCUCCUCCCCUUCCUCUUCUCUUCCUCCCCUCUCCUUCCUCCCAUCAGCCGGCCCUUCCUCCUCCCCUCUACUCCCUCUUCCAUCAGCCGGCCGACGGCGGGCGGUGGCGGCGGGCAGGAGGCGGGUGGCGGCGGCGCGGCCGCACGCGUGAAGGCGGGCGGCGGGCGGUGGGCGCGCGCGUGGAGGCUGGCGGCCGGCGGGCGGCGGCGGUGGGCAGGCGGCCGGCGGCGGCGGCUGCUGCGCGCGGGCAGUCGGCUGCUCGUUUGCUUUUUUUUUUUUGUAAUUUGUGUUUCAUUGGAUCUAUAAUUUUUUAGAUGUUGUGAUUCAUUGCAUCACAUGGAUCUGAGAUGUAUAAUUUGUAUAAUCUGUGAUGUAUUUAAUUUGUGUGUAGUUUUUUAGGAUUUGUGAUGUAUUUGAUCUGUGUGUAGGAUUUGUGAUGUAUUUGAUCUUAAUAUUUAGGAUGUUGAUUUGGAGAUAUGCAUCCCAUUUGAUUCGGGAGAAAAUACAGGGAUUAACACUAGCCAUUAGCAAAUCAACAAUAAAAUAAAAUAAAAAAGAUCUCGAGGUCUUUAGUCACCAACCGGGACUAAAGAUUCCCCCUCUUUACUCCCGGUUGGUGUUACCAACCAGGACUAAAGAUCGAUCUUUAGUCCCGGAUUCGUAGUCCCGGUUAGAAAACCGGGACUACAAAGGGUUCUAAACCGGGAGUAAAAAGCAUUUUUCCACCAGUGCACACACAAUUUUUCUAUCACAUCGUACCAAUUUCAACCAAACUUCCAAACUUCAGUGUGAACUAAACACAGUCUAAAUAAAGAACAAGAGAUUACACAGCAGUAAUUCUAAAAAAAAAUUACACAGCAGGAAGUUUUCUAGCGGAGUUUAGCGAAUCUGCCAUUACAUAAAAUCAAAUACAAGAAGAUAAAUAUAAAGAGGUGACGUGUGAUUAAUUGAGUUUUACUCCCUCCAUUCCAAAAUAUAAGACACAACCACUCUAAACUCAAAGACCAAAAAACCAUUAUUAUCACCUCUUUGUUUGAAUAAUCUUAACUAAUACAAUGCAUGCACCCAAUAGAAUUAAGCAUCUUGAUUUAAAAACAAUAAUUUAGAAGAGAGAAUAUGCUAUUAAUUGUCAUGCAUACAUGCACGCCUUAUAUUAUGAAACACCUUUAAAAAGUAGUUGCGCCCUAUAUUUUAGAACAGAGGGAGUAAUAUUUUAGAAUAACUUUCAUAUAAAAAGUUUUCGCACAAAAUACAUCGUUUAGCAAUUUGAAAAGCGUGCCAUGAAAAUCUUAAUCUUCGGCCAAGUUUAGUUCUAAAUUUUUUCUUCAAACUUUCAACUUUUUCAUCACAAACUUCCCUACACACAUAAAUUUUCAACUUUUUCAUCACAUCGUUUCAAUUUCAACCAAACUUUCAAUUUUGGCGUGAACUAAACACAACCUUCAUCUAACUCUUGUUGAAGGAAAGAACUGAAGCUUAGUACUAAACUUGUCUUGGGAAUGUAGGAAUCGAUUUUUUUAAGGGACGGAGGGAGUACGUUCACACAUUACAUUAUUGCAGCUCUGCCUCCACUGUACUCCUCCAUUGCACACCUGCCAGAAAUGCAUGUCUAGCACGCAGUCACGCACACAUGUAGUAGUACAACCAGACAUUCCAUGCAAAGUAUAAUCCCCAAACUGCCUUCGUUCGAGAUUCCAGCGACCAGCGGUACAGAGCGCGGAACUGGCGUUGACCAUAUUCCGAUCCAUUUCGAAUGCCUAAAGAUCUGACCACAGGGUGACAGGGGGGACAGAGAUCAGUUGGCCAGGAAACCACGGUGUUAACUUCUCCUGACGUGGAGUUCUCGGGCCUUGUGCGAUCUCAUGUGUUCAUCUCCGUUUUUGAGCAAGUUUAAUAGUAUAGCCAACUAGAAUCUCUAAUUUAUCUAUAGUCAAUUUAAUAGUUCAUUCAUACAAUAGUUACAUACUACACUAUUAAUACUUGAUCCCACCUAUCAUAUACAUACUGUGUUUUGAAGUCCGUGCUACAGCUGGCUACAAAUCUGUAGCCAACUGCUCUUCUCUCUCCUUAUUUACUACCUCCGUCCCAAAAUAAGUGCAGCCGUGGAUAUCCGUACCCAACGUUUGACCGUUCGUCUUAUUUGAAAAAUUUGUGAAAAAAUUAAAAAUAUUUAGUCACACAUAAAGUACUAUUCAUAUUUUAUCAUUUAAUAUCAAUAAAAAUACUAAUCAUAGAAAAUUUCAAAUAAGACGAACGGUCAAACGUUGAACGUGAAUAGUGCAAAACUGCACUUAUUUUGGGACGGAGGGAGUAUCUUCUUAGAAUAUGUUUAUAGCCGGCUUAUAGCCUGCUAUUGUACCUACUCUAACUAGCAAGUUUAUAGUGUAGCUAACUACUGACUUUGAAUAAUUUAUAGUCAAUUUAAUAGCCAAUUCAUAAAAUAGUUACAUAUAAGUAUAUACUACGUAAUUAAUAUUUGGUCACACCUAUCAUAUCAUACACAUGCAUUUAGGAGUUUGUUCUGCAGUUGGCUACAAUGUAGCCAGCUGCUCUUCUCACCAGCCAUCUUCAACCCUCCAUGUCAUCAAGUAUCCAUAACAUUUAAUACAUUGACAUAUAAGAAAAAUAUGUGAUGCACUACAAGAAAAAUACUCUGUAUAGACAUUUUUCUAGUACUGUAGAGGCACUUAUCAAAUGCCUUUACAACAAUGUAGAGGCAUUUUAAAAAAUGUCUAAUAAGUGUCUUAUGGUGAAUUGUCUCUACAAACGAAGAGACAUUUUAUAAAAUGUCUAUAAGAUGGUAGAGGCAUUUUUUAGAGACACUAAAUUGUACCGCAAACAUAUAAAACCAGUCCAAAAAAGAGAAUAAAAUAGUUUCCUUGCUUUUGAUAAGUCUUGAACUCAUGAUCUUUUGGUUAAAUCAUUUUAAUCUUCGAUACACUAACCAACUCAACUCCAUGUCAUUACUUGUAUACUUGUUCCUUUAAUUACUUAUAUUUAGUCGUUUAGUACACAUUAUCAUUCUAAAAAGUGUCUCUACAUAGUUUAAAAUGUCUCAACAAAAUGCCUUUACAUAUUAGACGCAUUUUAUAGUGCCGAAAGAAUGCCUCUACAAGAUAAAAUCUAACAAACUGAUAUAAAAAUGUCUCUAGAGUAAAAGUUUUCUAGGCAAUUUUUAAAGUGUCUCUAUAAAGUGUCUCUACACUAUAAAACUUCUGAUUGUAGAAGCAAUUUACAAAAUGCCUCUACAAAAGUGCCUCUAUACGAGGUUUUUGUUGUAGUGAUGAGAGUUAAUAAGAAGAGAGGUAAAAAGAUGAAGAUACCAUUUCUCGUAAAGAAACAUCUUUACACGAGAACCAAGAAUAAAAACAAGGGGAUUAGAUGUGAAUUUAAUUUGAAGACAUCAUCCAUUGGAUAUAUAGACUCUAUAUAUAGUGUCUAUAUGACAUGGUAAGUAUGGAAUAUAGUUUCUGCUAUUGUGUCUUCUCUAACUACUUUACCGAAUUAUUAUUGCUGGUCGCCAACGCGCGGAUCAUUAUUAUUGAUAUUGUAUACUACUCCAUAUUUUAAAGUUUAAUAUAUGUUGAAUACAUAGGCUAUUUUCUAUACUAUAGCGAUUUAGAUUACUAACUGUUUUCAGUUUUUUUUUAAAAAAAAAUCGUAAUUAAAAUAAUAAACAUCAUAUUUAUUUAAUAUUGAAUUUUGCAGUUGCUACAUUUAUUAAAAAACUAUAUGUAAUUAAUACCUAACACAUUAUUACGAUCUACAGUUGUGAUAUUAUGAUUUAUUAGAUCAAUGACUAGAUUUUUCUGAUUAAUGUGAGAGCUCAUAGAAAAUGUUAGGUUAGUAUAGGUAUAGAUAUAGAUAGAUAGAUAGAUAGAUAGAUAGAUAGAGGGUUAAAAGCUAUUUUUCUUUGUGGUGGAGUUACGGACUGCAAAUCCAUGUCUUAGCUAAAUACAAAAGACGCCCAUUUUUUUUUAAAACAACGGCAGAGCUUGCCAUUUCACUGAAUAAAGAAGGGAGCAAUAUUUACAUGUAAGGAGAAAAGUAAUAUUUACAAAGGCGACCGGGCACUAAGGCAACAUCUCUGCUGAGCGUUUGGCUUCCCGCCGUAGCCCAAGCUUUUGCCUCAUCCUUUAUCUUUGCGAUGAGGUCGCAGUGCUUAACUCUUUGUUUCGGAAGAUUUGUCGGUUUCACUCGUUCCAAAUUUCCCAGGAGAUUAGGAGGAUUAAGGAUAUAAUUCCAAGUUUUGGUACAGUGUGGCAUGUGGCAAGAAAUUCCCACCAUUCAUGAACCGUGGUCGAUUGUGUCCAGCUUACCGGCGCCAUGGAUGCACAGGUUAUCCAACUGGCAAUGGCAUCCCAUAUUUUCUUGGUGUAUCUGCAUUGCAUUCCACCAACAGGUGUAUAGUAAUCUCGUCGGUGUGCCGACAUAGCGAGCAAACUCCAUUCUUCUGUCAGCCCCGGGUCGCUAGUCGGUCCGCCAUCCAAACCCUAUUUUGAAUGAUUAACCACGCAAAUGUCCAUAUCUUUGAUUUUGUGACGAACCCGUGCACCAUCCAACCGUGUCGGUGAGAAAGGUCGAAUGGAGCCCGUACUGACGACCCUGAUAGGUGAACAGUUGCACGGGGUUGCACCCGCGCGGUCAGUUCCAAACCCUCUAGUUCACCUUCUCCUCUAUAAGAGUAUAUACACAUGUAUAUAUAGUAUAAGAGCGCACGCGCCUAUAUAUAUAAUUUUUUUAGGGUGAAUAGCUAAUUUAGUCCCUCAAGUUUCAGUGAAGGCUUAAUUUGAUCCUUCACGUUUCAUUUUGUCUAUAUAGAUCCUUCAAAUAUUUGUUUUAGCUUGAAAUCAUUCUUGGGUCCACUUAAUAUGCCAUAUGGCUAUUUCUAGUCAAUAUUUCUAUUAGAAAAUGUCCUUUUUGCCCAUAAUUUAUAUACAUCUAUACACUAGAAAAUAGAAAGCCAACAUGAAUAAACAACAUUACAGAUCUACUUCCCAUUAUUUCAACAUGUGCACAUGAAACUUAAGCAAUUGCUAUCGUAUACACUUGCUAGUACAUAAUUUUUUUCGUUUUACAUAAUAUACUAUGUAUUAUCUAUAAAAAAUUCAAGCAUGCAAUUUCUCUCUUAUAUAUGUGAAUGAUGAGGGGUAUAAGUGUCAUUUAUGAAGAGAGUUGUUGGUUCAAGGAUAAGUUUGAACUAAAAUGAAAACUUGAAGGACUAAUAUGGAUAGAUUGAAACAUCAAGGACUAAACUGAGCCUCAGAUAAAACUUGCAGGACCACUUUGGCUAUUCACCCUUUAUUUAUGUAUAAAAAAUAUACAUCUAUACAGAAGUUUAUAUACGACAUAUACAAACUUUGUAUAUGACGUAGACAAAAUUUAUAUACAUGCGCAUUUAAAAAAUUUAAAAAACAUCACGUAUACAAAGUUCGUAUACAUAUAUAAAAAGUUUGUAUACGAGUGUAAACAAACUUUGUAUACACAUAUAUAAACUUUGUAUCUCGUACGUAUAGAAAACAAAAAAAACCCAAAAAAGGAAAAAAUAAAAAAAUACUGAAAAGAAAAAAAACCAAAGAAAACCGAAUAAAACAAAGAAAAAAAGUGAAAAAAAGUCCCACGCGCGGCGCGGCGUCCGCCGCCCUCCUCUCCGCGCGCGCCACCUGUCCAUCCGCGCGGAGGGAGGCGCGCGCGGACAUCCGCGAAUUAGCAAUCUCUUAACCUGGCAGCCAUAUCGCCCGCCGGUCAAACCCGCCCUCUUUGUUCGUCGACGGCUCGACCUCUUGUUGCUUGUGUCACCUCCUUUUGUCUUCUACCCGAGAUUUUCCAUAGAGAAAACGGCCCUCACCCACGGCCACAGCCACGGGCCGUAGGUGUCAGUCGUGUCACACACAAAAAAAAAAAAAGUUCCACCCACCCGUUGUCUUCGCAUUUCAACCCUUAAUAUCCGUUUGCCUAUAAAUACUCUCUCUGUAGGUACAUCUCUCUACCAUCUCUGUCGUCCAACCUCUUAGUUUCCUGCUUGGUUUUGAUCGAUUCAAGCUAGUAAACGCUGAUCAUGGUGAACGUUGCUCGCUUGGAUCAGGCUGACGGCGCUGCGUCCAAGAUCGCCACGGCGCGGGCGCUGGGGGCGUUCGGCCUCGCCACAGCCUCUCUGGCCAUCAAUCUGGCCGCGACACGCGGGGCACCGUCGUGCUUCGGUGACAGCGCCUGGUACUACCACCUCGCUCUCGUGGGUUCCUUCCUCUCCGGAGUGGCCCAGGUGGCCGCCGCCGUCUGGGUCGCCGACGACCCUCGCGGCCGCCAUGCCGUCGGCAAGAAAAUCAUGUACCCCUCUAUUGCACCCCUCCUCGUGGCCGUCGGCCUCACCGGAGCGGCUCUGCUCUGGUAAUAUUUCCAGUUUUCCACCUUGGUUCAUCUACACGUACCAACACCGACAUCGCCGCCUACCGCGCCAGCUUCUCCCCGCAGGAUCGGCGCGAAUGUAUCUGUUAACAACCCUCUCCUUCCAAACUCGGUAAUCUCAAGAACAAUCCAAUUCAAUACAAUCUCAGGAAAAUAGAAGAGGAAUUGAAGGAGAAGAAGUAGAGGAUGCUUCUAGAAGUGGCAGUGAGGAGGACCAUGGAGAGAGAGAAGGAUAGAGAUCGACGAGGUUCAACCGAACCAAGCCGCCGCCGCCGCCGUGGCCGAAGCCGCCGAUUCCUGAUCUGUUCGAUUCCCCUGGUAAGAGUUGUCCUGUUGUUUUGUAGCUUCACCUUGGACUGGCCUGGGCCAACAUUAGGAGAGUUGAUGGACUGGCCCAUUUGGCAGCCCAGCCAGGACCUUAACAGUAUCUUACCUGUUUGAUUUGUGUGAUGUUGCUUUCUUGAUGUUUGCUGUUUGGGUCAUCGAUCGUGCUUUUGUGUAUCACCUCGAGUAUCUAGUAUCUACCAUCAAUCAAUCACGCUGUUUCCCUCCACUGCCUGCUGUUGUUGUGUUGUUGAUCAAUGCUUGGAUUGAUGAAUAUGUGAUGCAAAUUUUGAGUCACUACGGUAUACUCAAAUCAAACAAAAAAAUCAGCUAAUUUGCAGAAGAGUGUAUUUGGAAUGUUGGAGUACCCCGCGAAUUGUGAAGCCGGUGGCGGCGCGGCGACCGGCGAUUAUGGUGUUUGUGAUCACUAAUUCAACAUCCACUUCAUCGCUGCCGCUGGCGGGGCUCCGGCGACGGUGCGCACCGUACGGCCGGCCCGCCGCCGCCGCCUUGUCCUCCCUUGCCCCUUGCCGCUGUCAUGUGAUGGCCAAAAGGGUUCUUUUUGGUGAUUUUUCUAUCCAGUUUUUUAAUCAAGAUUCUGAUCCAAUUGUUUCGAUUUUGGCUGAAAGGUGGGCCAUAAGUGGACCCCACAUGGCCAUAGGAGAGUACUACUAAUAGUAGGAGAUUACUGGAGAAAGAGAGGAGACAUCACAGGGUCCCCGAGACUGGGAAAUUUAACUAUUUGUAACUCUCACAAUUAACGAUUUGCCACAUCCUAUCUAUCACAUGUAGACUCUUAUGUGUCUAUGAUAUGUGGGUCUAAUAGUAAAUUGUUAAGCUCCACUGGUAAGAGUGGCAAAUAUUUAAAAGCCCCGCGGAGACUUGCGGCUGCGGCGGCCGAGAGGGCCACGGCCAUGGCGACCUCGCCUUCGCCCUCGCCCUCGCCCAAAAAGUCUCUAUCUCGCUGCUCCGGCUUCCUAACUACAUCCUCUUACCUCCUCUCUGCCUCAAUUCGCUAGAUCUUGUGCAGCGGUGAGGAAACGACGGCGCGCCAAAUUUUGCUCGGCCACGAUCCGAUCACUGUCGCCGGAAGCCGUCCUCCGGCCACCCCCUCGCCGUGAACCUGCGCCGGCGGACCUCGGCCAGGAUCUGGUCGGCAUCGCGGCUGUGGUAUUGCAAACAGAUUUGUGGAUGCUAUGAUGGCCGUGCGCCGUUCAGCCGUUGACUUGUAAGAACACGGCAGCCACCUCUUCUGAUUUUAGUGGUUCAUACAGGUUAUCAUCUGCUUGCCCUUACAAUUACAUAUGGUUACAUACUUACAUGCAUUUUGGUGGCUGUGGUCAUGUUGUGAAAGAAAGACAUCAGUCAACAGGUGCUUAAGGGAAUUUCACAGUGUGAGCGAUAACCUAUCAGAAUUUGAUUUGAUAGGGCAGUUUGGUAUGUUGUGUGAAAGCUCUUUAAACAAUUGUGCAGUUGUUUGGUGCAUCAUUUUCUGUCUUCUGGUAAUUGUGAAUCACUGGCAUAUAUAUUGAGGAACCCAACUUUUGUAUAUUUGCCAGUUUCUGUAUUUUUCACAUGUGGAGAGACUGGUGUGUAUGACAGUUUUCCUGGCAUGUCAUGUAAUAAUCGGAAGAUUUGUUAUUAGGAGAGGGAUGCUCAAUCUCCUUUCUAAUAUUAGGCUUUUACCGUUGCUUGUGUGCAACCAUCAGCCCUUUUCAGACUAGUUAUAACCAUACCAUUUUGUAUAUCAAAAUUUAUGACUAAAUUGCACUAAAUAUUCGUGAUUUAGUGCAUUGUGAUGCUGUGACUGAAUCUGAAAAUUUGGCAGCGAGAAUGAAUAUCAAGUAAUGUUGUGCCGAUUUUGCUAUAGAUUUGUCGUGUGAUUUUUUCUCUUGGAUUUGUCUUUUUUAGGCUGUUCGAUAAGUGACAAGAUUCGUGCACAUAUAGCGCUGGGAAUCCGCAUAGGAUUCAGUCGGGCGGGUUAGAGGCGCUAAUUUCUUUUUUUUUUGCGCUCUAAAAAAUUGAUAUGCACGCUGUUCUCUCUCGUUCUCUCUCAAUUGAAACUAAAAUAAAAAUAAAAUACAAAAUUACAGUCCUAUAUAAUAAAAAUUACAUUUGUAAAUUCAGUUGAUAUGACAUGUAAGUGCGUACUGUAAUUUUUAUAACAAUGUUGUGUAAGUAAAUAUUUAUUUGUUAUUUUUAAUAUAUAAAAUUACAGUCCUAUAUAACUAAAGUUAUAUUUGUAAAUUCAGUUGAUAUGACAUGUAAGUGCACUGUAAUUUUGAUAACAAUGUUGUAUAAGUAAAUAUCUAUUUGUUAUUUUCUUUAAAAUAUAAAAUUACAGUCCUAUAUAACCAAAAGAGUAAAGUCCAUCACCGGUCCCUAAACUUGUACCGUUGUGUCAUCCCGGUCCCUAAACUCGCAAAUCGACCGUUCAGGUCCUCAAACUUGUUUGACUGUGUCAUCCCGGUCCCUAAACUUGUAGAUCACUUGUUUAGGUCCUCCAACUUGUUCAGUUGUGUCACCCCGGUCCCUAAACAGGACGGUCUAAAAACUUUAUAUCAAAAAAUAAUUUAUAACUUUUUCAUAUGAACUCUAAUGAAGACAAACUUUAUAUCAAAAUUGUAGCCUUCGACGUGACUUACAACUUUGUAGUUGAAAAGUUUUUGAAUUAAAACUGUUUUAGUCCCAAAAUAUUGUUGCAUGUUUAUAUAUUUUGAAAUUUUAAUUUUAAAAUUACAUUUUGGGACAAAAAAUGACUUAGAAUAAAAAAACUCAACUACAAAGUUGUAGAUCGAGUCGAGGGCUACAAGUUUGAUAUAAAGUUUUUCUUCAUUAGAGUUCACAUGAAAAAGUUAUGAAUUAUUUUUAAAUAUAAAGUCUUUAGACUGUCUUAUUUGACCCAGAUGAUAUUCAAAUCCAAGUUUAGGGACCGGGGUAACACAACUGAACAAGUUGGAGGACCUAAACGAGUGAUCUGCAAGUUUAGGGACCGGGGUGACACAGUCGAAUAAGUUUGAGGACCUGAACGGUCGAUUUGCGAGUUUAGGAACCGGGAUGACACAACGGUACAAGUUUAGGGACCGGUGAUGGACUUUACUCUAACUAAAAUUAUAUUUGUAAAUUCAAUUGAUAUGACAUGUAAGCGCACUGAAAUUUCGAUAACAAUGUUGUGUGAGUAAAUAUCUAUUUGUUAUUUUCUUUAAUAUAUAUAAUUACAAUCCUAUAUAACUAAAAUUACAUUUGUAAAUUCAGUUGAUAUGACAUGUAAGUGCAUUGUAAUUAUGAUAAAAGUAUUGUGUAACUAAAUAUGUAUUUUUAUUUUCUUUUGUAGUCUGUUGGAUGUAAAUUUAAGGGUAGAAAAAAUCUAGGUGAUUUUUUCAAAGAAAUCACCCGACAAAUAGAUCAUGUUGUGCAUAUCCCCGCAGUCUGGACAUGAUCCAAUUAUCACAGUGAGCUCGGCCCAACUAAACUUGGGCUGACUUGGGCAGCUAUCCAUAUUUUCAUGGGCUGACUUGGGCUUACAAAAAUCUCCAAAAACGAUGCCCAAAGCUUUAAUGGACCAUAAAGUGGCGAUCCAGUUGAGCACGAAUAAAUCGCGUGGUUGAGGUUCGGAGUUUAAUUCUCCGACCCCUGUCUAUGCAAAACAUUUCCAUUGUUUGUUUCAAAAAAAAAAAACAUUUCCAUUGUUUGGAGGCAAUAAGAAGAGCUCCAUGAUACAAAUGAUUUCUUUUUUUUUUGAGAAACACAGUAUAAACGCAGGCGCUCACAACGUGCCGGCAUAUCUUGAGAUUGACGAAGUCACCACAGCGAGCACCCGUGUCAAAUCUAGGAGGCUGUCGACGGGUACGUCGCCUAACUAGGAGGCUGUCGACGGGUACGUCGUCUACCACUGAAAGAAUAAUUAGCCGUAAAUGCGAGCACCCGUGUCAAAUCUAGGAUUUGAACCCAGGUGGGCUGGUUCCACCACAAGGAACCUAACCAGUUGAGCUAUACUCACUUCGCAUGAUACAAAUGAUUUCAUCUGAGCACGUAAGGUUGCUUCUACAUAAGGUUUUGUGUUACCAUCACACUAUAUCUCACGAAAGCAAAUUCAAGUUGAUAUAAAACUUCAUUUGCUGAAAACAUCUGAAAAAUGUAAGCGUGGUACUGCAGGUCUGCACCUGCCAUCGGCCAUAUUCGAAUGAACACAUUGCAGUUGUAAUCCUCGGCGAUGUUGUUGUAUGUAUGAUCUGCCGUGGUGAUAUUAAUGGUUUCUUCUGUUGAGAUUAUAGACAUAUAAUGAUUUAAUCUAUUCCAUAAAUAAAUCAUGACAUUACAGAUGAAAACUAGCAUGAACACACCAUUAGAUCUACACAUGUAAACUACACAGUAUAACAUGAACAGAUCAAAUAUGCGCAACAUAUUGAACACGUACCGAGGUGACGGAAAGACCGGCUGCUUGGUCGAAACUUUUCGCAGGUGUCUACGAAGGCACGAAACACGCGAGCGAAGAGGAAGGCGAGCCGUCGCGAACGAACAAGGAGCAGUCGCGCGAAGCGCUUCCCAAAAACCUUAUUGCCGCCUUCUCCCGGUGCAGGACGUCGAAGGCAGAGGUUCCAGAGACCUGCUCUCCCGAUCGCCGGUGCACGCCGGCAAGCGGGAUGGAGUAGUCUACGAGCGACGGCGCAGUACAGAGUAGGAGGCAAACCCUAGAUUGAUUUCGCGUGUGUUGCGUGAAGACGGCAGGUCGGUUUAUAUAGAGAAGGGUCGCUUGAUCAGGGCGCCUGCACGAUCUCUACUGCGCGUAACCGAACCGGAUAAGUCGCGCGUAACUUAUCCGGACUCCACGCCGUUUGCACGCACCGGAUUUUUCGGAACGUUUCCAAAACAAAAACGAAUCCGAAUUUGCAGCAAAACAAAACUGCAAAAGGAGGCUGCAUCUGCGUAAGGGUGAGGAGCCAAUUUUUCGGACCAUUCGACGCGUACGUCGUGCACGCGCGCCGCCUGCCCGGCCAGGCGAGGCGAGCGAGCGCGCGCGUGUGUUUCCCCUCUUCUCUCCACCACACAUGCUUCAAGUGACUAGGAGGGCAUCCUCCCUUUUAAGGAGGUCCCCCUCUCCUAGAAUAAGCAAGGUGGUACUAAACUCCACAUGCAUGCCAUCCCAUGAGGUGGGCUUUUGUGAUUUUCCAAAGAAUUAAUCUUCGAGUGGGCUAAGGCCCAUUCAUUAAUUCCAACAAUCCCCCACCAAAUCUCAAAAUCCCACUGAGAUUUGCCUUUUCCAAUAUACUGUUUAUAUACCAGCGGUUCGAUGGAGACCAAUUAAGGUUGAGCAUCCACCUAGAACUCCAAGCUACACUUACUCACAACUUGAACAAUGGACUACGCCUUGAAUUGCAAGUCUUGUGCAAGCAAGUUUCACUCAAAGUCUUACCUGGUACUAGACCGUCUGUAGACUACCCCUCGGGUGGAGCGUAUAAGUCAUACUCCUAGGUCUUUAGUAAGCUUCCUAGAAGAUUCACCCAAAAUCUUUAUAGACUGCGACCAACAGUCAAGCUCACAAAGGUGAGUUCUUUCAAGAAUGCUCUGCAGGACAACAUCUUCGCUAAUUAAAACCAACAGAACUCAUUAAGGCAUAGCCAACCUGCCUUGCAGCUCACGAGAGUAUAUGCAUCUUCACUUGGAGAGGGUAUAUAUAUUGGUACUCUCCUCUAGUUUAUUAAUGGUUUGUUCUUCCCAGGAUCUAAUUCACGGGAUCUCCGAUCACAUAGACUGGGUUACCACCAUAGUAUAACUCACAUGGGUCUCAAACCCAUCUCCUUCGAUGCAUUGUCUAUCACAUUUCGUGAUAGUCCCUUCGUGAAGGGAUCUGCCAGAUUUCUCGCUGUUUGGAUGUAAUCCAACGUUAUAACUCCUGAGUUUCUUAAUUUCCUGACAGACUUCAAUCGUCUUUUCACAUGUCUAGACGAUUUCAUAUUAUCCUUAGAACUAUUCACUUUGACAAUUACCGUUUGAUUGUCACAGUUCAUAAGGAUAGCCGGCACCGGUUUUUCAACAACAGGCAGAUCCAUUAAUAGAUCACGCAGCCAUUCUGCCUCAACAGUAGCAGUAUCCAGUGCCGUUAGCUUUGCUUCCAUGGUUGACCUCGUCAAAAUGGUCUGUUUGCAAGACCUCCAUGAAACAGCACCACCACCCAGUGUGAAAACAUAUCCACUAGUGGCUUUGAUCUCAUCCACAUCAGAGAUCCAGUUAGAAUCACUAUAACCCUCCAGUACCGCAGGAUACCCAGUAUAGUGAAGCCCCAAUUCCACAGUACCUUUCAGAUAGCGCAUUACUCGCUCAAGCGCACGCCAGUGAUCAUCUCCCGGAUUAGAGGUAAAUCGGCUCAACUUGCUUACAGCAAAGGAGAUAUCAGGCCUAGUUGCACUAGCCAGGUACAUCAACGAGCCAAUGAUUUGGGAGUAUUCCAGUUGAUUCCUAGCAAUUCUCUUGUUCUUGCGAAGCAACAAGCUAGGAUCAUAAGGUGUUGGAGAAGGCUUACUAUCAAUGUAGCCAAAGCGAUUCAAGAUCUUCUCCACAUAAUGGGACUGCAAGAGUGUAAUCCCAUUCUCACCUCUAAUUAGCUUAAUGUUUAAGAUAACAUCAGCUACUCCCAAAUCCUUCAUAUCAAAAUUUUGAGACAAGAAUGAUUUAACCUCAUUUAUCACCUCAAGAUUUGUCCCAAAUAUCAGUAUGUCGUCAACAUACAAGCACAAAAUAACUCCCUCACCCCCACCAUGGCGAUAGUACACACAUUUAUCUGCCUCAUUGACUGCAAAGCCUGCAGAUGUCAAUGUUUUGUCAAAUUUCUCAUGCCAUUGCUUAGGAGCUUGUUUCAGACCAUACAAAGACUUCAACAAUUUGCACACUUUGCCUUCUUGACCUUCAACUACAAACCCAUCAGGUUGAUCCAUAUAGAUCUCCUCAUCCAGCUCUCCAUUAAGAAAAGCUGUCUUAACGUCCAUUUGAUGAACGAGAAGACCAUGUGAGGCUGCUAGGGAAAGUAGCACACGAAUUGUGGUCAAUCUAGCAACAGGUGAGUAAGUAUCAAAGAAAUCUUCGCCUUCUUUCUGAGUAUAGCCCUUAGCAACAAGCCGAGCCUUGUACUUUUCAAUAGUACCGUCAGGCCUAAGCUUCUUCUUGAACACCCACUUGCACCCCACAGGUUUACACCCAUAGGGUCGCUCUGUCACCUCCCAAGUCCCGUUAGCGAUAAUGGAAUCCAUUUCACUACGGACAGCCUCCUUCCAGUAGUUUGCAUCAGGAGAUGCAUAUGCUUCUGAAAUUGACUUAGGAGUGUCAUCCACGAGGUACACAGUGAAAUCAUCACCAAAAGACUUAGCCGUCCUUUGUCUCUUACUCCUUCGAGGAGCUUCACUGACAUCCUCCUCAGAGACAAGUUCAUGUGUAUGUUCAGUUUGUUCUGGUGGUGUGAUUGAACUGGGAAUUAUUUCAGAGGGUUGGUUCGAACCACUAUGUGUAUCCUUCAUUGGGAAAAAGCUCUCAAAGAAGGUAGCAUCACGAGACUCCAUAAUUGUACCAACAUGCAUGUCCGGUACCUCGGAUUUAACUAUUAAAAAUCUAUAGGCAAUGCUAUGAUGAGCAUAUCCCAGAAAAACACAGUCCACAGUUUUAGGUCCAAGUUUGCGCUUCUUCGUUAUUGGUACAUUGACUUUCGCCAAGCACCCCCAUGUGCGCAAAUAAGAAAGUGAUGGUUUUCUACCAAUCCAUAUCUCAUAUGGUGUUUUGUCCUUAUUUCUGUUAGGAACUCUAUUUAACACAUGAUUUGAGGUCAACAAUGCCUCCCCCCACCAUGCCUUAGGCAGUCCCGCGGUGUCCAACAUGGCAUUCACCAAGUCAGUCAGUGUGCGAUUCUUCCUUUCAGCAAUCCCAUUAGACUCGGGAGAAUAGGGAGGCGUCCUCUCAUGUAUGAUGCCAUGUUCCUCACAGAAUAAGUCAAACUCGUUCGAGAAAAACUCUCCACCACGAUCAGACCUAAGCCUUUUUAUCUUUCUGUCAAGUUGAUUUUCAACUUCUGCCUUAUAAAUUUUAAAAUAGUCUAGAGCCUCGUCUUUCGUUUUCAACAAGUAAACAUAGCAAAAUCUAGUAGCAUCAUCAAUCAAUGUCAUGAAAUAUCGUUUUCCACCCUUCGUCAACAUCCCAUUCAUUUCACAAAGAUCUGAAUGUAGGAGUUCUAAUGGUGCUAAGUUUCUCUCCUCGGCAGCCUUGUGAGGCUUGCGAGGUUGCUUCGAUUGCACACAACUAUGGCACUUAGAACCUUUGACAAUGGAAAACUUAGGAAUUAAACACAUGCUGGAAAGCCGAGACAUCAAGCCAAAAUUAAUAUGACAUAAACGUGAAUGCCAAACAUUAGCCUCAUUAUCCAUACUGCCACAAAUAUGGUUCACAGACUUAUUGCAGAAAUCAGAAAGGGAAAAGCGGAACAGGCCUCCGCACUCAUAACCUUUACCAAUAAAAUAUCCAUGUUUAGACACGACUACUUUAUUAGACUCAAAAACCAACUUAAAUCCGUCUCUAGUCAGACGGGAGCCACUAACAAGAUUCCUGUCGAUAGAAGGGACAUGCUGCACGUUCUUCAGCUGCACGAUCUUUCCCGAAGUAAACUUCAGAUCUACCAUGCCAACACCAUGAACAGAAGCAUGUGACCCAUUCCCCAUUAGGACGGUGGAACCCCGUGCGACCUGAUAAGAAGAAAACAAUGAGAUGUCAGCACAAACAUGUACAUUGGCCCCAGUAUCAACCCACCAAUUAGUAGAUUGAUUAACUGAGAAAACAGUAGGUAAAUUACCAUACCCGCUUCCAUCUCCAGUGUUGCCAAUGGUCACAUUAGCAGACUUAGAAGUCUGCCCUGCAGGUGCCUUCAUCCCCUUGCGCUGUGGACACUUCCUAGCCAGAUGACCAACUUGGCCACACACAAAGCAAGUCCUCUCAUCCUGAUUAGGAUUGUUGUUGUUCUUCUUCUGCUUCUUGAAGUUGGUGGUCUGCUGAGCUUUGUAUUUCCCCUUGCUCUUGUUCUGGGCCUUGUGCACAACAUUGGCACUGGACUGCCCACCAUCGCCCUUAGACGCGGCAUCUUUUUCCCGAGCUUUCUCCUCAACAUCAAGAGACGCUAUCAACCCCUCAACGGAGUAUUCCUGUCUCUUGUGUUUGAGUGCAGUACCGAAACUUCUCCAAGAUGGAGGUAGUUUUGCAAUAAUGCACCCGGCCACAAAUUUGUCGGGUAAGACACACUUAAGGAGUUCGAGUUCCUUAGCCAUGGUUUGUAUCUCAUGAGCCUGUUCGACUACAGAACGGUUGUCAGCCAUUUUGUAGUCAUGAAACUGCUCCAUGAUAUACAGAUCAUUGCUAGCAUCAGUAGCACCGAAUUUAGUAUUCAGUGCAUCCCACAACUCCUUAGCGUCGGUCAUAUGCAUAUACACCUCGACCAGACGAUCGCCAAGAACGCUAAGAAUGCAUCCCACAAAGAGAGUAGUGGCUUCCUCGAAUUGCUUCUGCUGUUCAGCAGUAAGAACUCCUUCAGGUUUGCCAGUACUCACCCAGAAGCAUUUCAUAGCUGUCAGCCACAGAGUGACCCUGAUCUGCCAUCUCUUAAAAUGCACACCGGUGAAUUUAUCCGGCCUCAGUGCAUCGGCAAAACCAGCCAUAGUAAAAUCACAGUACCUAUAAUAAGGUUUUUGGAUUGUUGAGAUUAUAGACAUAUAAUGAUUUAAUCUAUUCCAUAAAUAAAUCAUGACAUUACAGAUGAAAACUAGCAUGAACGCACCAUUAGAUCUACACAUGUAAACUACACAGUAUAACAAGAACAGAUCAAAUAUGCGCAACAUAUUGAACACGUACCGAGGUGACGGAAAGACCGGCUGCUUGGUCGAAACUUUUCGCAGGUGUCUACGAAGGCACGAAACACGCGAGCGAAGAGGAAGGCGAGCCGUCGCGAACGAACAGGGAGCAGUCGCGCGAAGCGCUUCCCAAAAACCUUAUUGCCGCCUUCUCCCGGUGCAGGACGUCGAAGGCAGAGGUUCCGGAGACCUGCUCUCCCGAUCGCCGGUGCACGCCGGCGAGCGGGAUGGAGUAGUCUACGAGCGACGGCGCAGUACAGAGUAGGAGGCAAACCCUAGAUUGAUUUCGCGUGUGUUGCGUGAAGACGGCAGGUCGGUUUAUAUAGAGAAGGGUCGCUUGAUCAGGGCGCCCGCACGAUCUCUACUGCGCGUAACCGAACCGGAUAAGUCGCGCGUAACUUAUCCGGACUCCACGCCGUUUGCACGCACCGGAUUUUUCGGAACGUUUCCAAAACAAAAACGAAUCUGCGCAAGGGUGAGGAGCCAAUUUUUCGGACCAUUCGACGCGUACGUCAUGCACGCGCGCCGCCUGCCCGGCCCGGCGAGGCGAGCGAGCGCGUGUGUUUCCCCUCUUCUCUCCACCACACAUGCUUCAAGUGACUAGGAGGGCAUCCUCCCUUUUAAGGAGGUCCCCCUCUCCUAGAAUAAGCAAGGUGGUACUAAACUCCACAUGCAUGCCAUCCCAUGAGGUGGGCUUUUGUGAUUUUCCAAAGAAUUAAUCUUCGAGUGGGCUAAGGCCGAUUCAUUAAUUCCAACAUCUUCUACCUUAGCUAUGAUGUUCAGACAACUUUGAAUAGCAGACUCGCUGAUAAGCACAGCAGCAGUCAACAGUUGAUGACGGAGAUAAUGAAGCCUCACCUAGCCGUCGUCACCCACUAGAGCUCAGCUAUCUCGGGGCCUUACAGGAGAGAGGGAAACUGUGGUGGCGGCCGUGUUUUUUUUUUACCUUUUCCACAUGACUUUUUUUUAUUUUUUUAGAGAAGGGUAUUUUUUACCCGGCCUCUACAUCCAACCGGAUAUAUGCGGUCGUACCUUUUCCACAUGACUAAUAUGAGAGCCCUACUGUUUUUCUUUUUUUUUUUAACGGAAAACAGCACUAGAUGCCUUUUCACUUAAUAGAGUAGGAGAAAAUACAACCCCUAGGAGCAAAGAAAAAAGGAGUAUGGUUUUUCUGAUUUUUUAUUAGAAUAUAUGAUUGCUACAUAAACGUCACAUAGUAUGUGUGUAGACAAAGUCAAAAUAAUAAGUUAAAUGAGACCGCUCAAAAGAACCACCGAGAGAGAGUUAAUUUGCACUGAUUUUGAUAAUUAGUGUGUUAUACCUAGUUUUAUAAUUGAGGGAUACUAAUCGAUCUCAGCUUAUAGGUUGAGGGACGCAAACACUUAUGCCAAUAGUUGUUGCCAUAUCGCGCACUUGAUACUUAAUAAACAUAUUAGUUUUUUAAUCAUUUGUUAUGAAUUAAAUAAAACCCACUAAGAGCAUAUAUGCUCUUGAAACUUGAAAGAAAGAAUACUACUUAGCUCUUUUCCUCUUUUUAGGAUUUUUAUGGUACAUUGUACUGCAAGUAUAUACUGCCAUUAUAUUUGAUCUAACGGUGUAAAUUAAUCUGAUCUUCUUCCUAAUUAUCCUGCAGUAUAAAAUUGAAUAGGGUAUAUUUGUCUUUUCAUCUAUUUAUAUAGGGGGUAAUUUUGUAAAUUCGCAUUUUCUCAGUUAGAUCCGGUCGAUAGGCGUCCAGUCAAAGCAGCCGCUGCCGGCGCGCAGCUGCGGCAGCUCGCAGCGGCAAGGGCAGCCGGCAGGUGGCCGAAGCAGCAGUGCGGCAUGCAGCAGCAGCAGGGCAGGGAAGCCCCGCGGCGGCAUGCGACAACAGCAAUUUUAAAAAAGUGAAGAAGAAUUUUAUAAAAAAAACAUAUGUACCGAUUCACAAGUGUUUGUAGAGAAUUAGACUUGUUAAUUAACUUAAUUAUUGCUUGUAUCCAUUGUUAUUGAAGCGGAUGAAGCCUGAAUCAUCAAACAAGUCUGAUGCAAACAUGCAGUAGUUAUAUAUUAUCACGGGCUCAGGCUUUUAAUACUCAAGAACUUAUAUCGCUAGAGAGACUGACGGAAGCAAGUUCCUGGAAGCGGACGGCUGCUGCUGGGCCCGACGGCGGCGAUAGUGCUGCGCACGAGAAUGGCAGUAUGUUGGCUUUGCUCCCGGCGGAGGCUGUAUCGCUUCCGGCGAUCGGCAGCGGCGGCGGCGGUGACGGCAUCAUUGCGUACGACAGCGGCUGGGCGGCGCUUGUGGGACUGUGGGAGCCACACGCGAGACAACGUACGGCUGCCGGCGACCCGACGUACCGCGUACGAGGUAGACUGAAUUGGUAUCACGAACGGAUGACGAGAUCCGAAAAAAUACCACCGAUGGAAAAAAUGAUCUCAAUUAAAAAUGGCUAAGCAAUCCUUUUUAGAUUUUUAACAAAUACCAAAUCUACCCUUUCAUAUACUGCAAGUAUAUACUUUAAGUAGAAUGUACUGUAAAAGUCCUCUUUUUUUCGCCCCCCAUGUAGUUAAGCUGGCAAUUAAUCGUUUUUUUGUUCAUACUUCAUUUGAAAUGUGUAGGAUCAACAAAACACACACACUUGUGAAUCGACAAACGCAACCUGCAGGUGCUAGGCAUGCACCGUGAAUUAUUGUAUAUUAAUCUGUCAAAGACUCAAAGAGCAGCAAAGGAAAUGUCUCAUAGCCUUGUUAAACAUAACUUUGCCAGGAGAUCUGUAUGUUUUGAUGCACACAAGCUGUUAUGAGGGUUGCUAGUUGCUACUCACUUGCUCUUACAUGCACUUCUGCUGGCAUAAGAUGAUAGUCUGGUAGAGGUUCUGUUGUUGAGCCCUGGAAGUCUGGAACACAGCCGGUGCUCAGAAGAAUUUCAUAUCACUACGGCGUAUCAGGAUUUGAUAGAGCAAUUUGGUAUGUUCGGUGAAAGUCAUACACAUUUGAGCGAUUGUACAGUACUCAGAAAUUGGUGUUUUAUAUCCUCUGGUAGUUGUGGAUCACUGUAUUGAGGAAUCAACCUGACGUAUAAUUGCCGGGUCUGUAAUUUUGUAUAUGUGGAGACUGGUGUGUAUACCAAUUUUCUGCUGGAAUGUCAUGCAAUGAGGCAUGGGCAAAUUCUCUUGUAGGGCUUUCAUCGUUCAUUGAGUUUAACAUAGCUAUAACAGUACUGUUUUAUAUGACAAAAUAACAGUACUAUUUUCUAUGACAAAAUUUGUGAUUAAACUGUGUUCACGAUUUCUUUUGGUUGUGCAGAAAACAAUGAACUGAUAAAACAUCCUAGAGUUAGUGAAUUUUGUGCUGGUGUAACUGAUUCUGAAAGCUUGGCAGCAAGAGUUGUCAAUUUUGCUAAUCAAGUUAAACUUGUGCUCGGGUGUACAAACCUGACAAGCAUUAUGCUUGUGAUUAACUGAUAAGUAAUGUAGGCAUGUAGCUAUGCAUAUAGUUUUUCGGGUGAGUUGGUGGUGGUAUGUUUGGUUUAGAACUGACUCGGUGGAACAUUUUCAGACGUCGCAUCAGCUGUGCGUUUGUUGGGCCGUACAUUGACGUACUUGGGCCGUGGGCCGUGGGCUGAUCUGUGGAGAGAACAUCCUGGUCACGUCUAUCUCUUCCCCCUCGGCCAACACCGAGUUUUUUUAAAGAGAAGGGUAUUUUUUAUCCGGUCUCUACAUCUAACCGGAUAUAUACGACCAUUGAAAUAGGAAACUUAUCCCCACAAACAACCCAAUCUGAAAUUCGCGGGAGCUAACAACGAGAUGCAGGGGCCGGGGUUGGAGCUCGGUGGUGACGGGGUACACGUCCAUGGCGCAAGCUCAAAUUCAGCGGCAAGCAACUCGUCGUUGAUGAUCUGGUACGUACGCCACACCGCCUCCUUUGAGAUUGACUGCUCCGGUAUCCGGGAGGGAGGUGCGGACGUAGCAGGGGGAGAGGCGAAGAAGGUGGAGUGGACUGAGUCGUCAUUGCAGCCCGAUUGAGCCGCCGUGGUAGAGCAGCCAUGGCGAUCGAUCGCCGGCCGGGAGCGAUACAUGCAUGAUAGUCCCUCCGUUUCUAAAUAUUCGACCCCGUUGAUUUUUUUUGAAGUAUGUUUGACCGUUCGUCUUAUUUAAAAAAUUUAAGUAAGUAUUAAUUCUUUUCUGGAAAGCUAUGUUACUUCCUUGCUGGAAAUUAAACAGUGCCCCCGAGCGAAUACAGAGAAAGGAAAACAUGUGGUCCACUUAGUUUCUAAUAAGUCCAAACUAGCUAAGAAGAAUCAAGGGUGCAGCCCUCGUCGCUGGGAGAAACCACACGCGGGGUGGAUGAAGCUGAAUGUGGAUGGAUCCUUUGACUUGAAUUCAGGUUCAGGUGGUUUAGGUGUGAUGCUAAGGAAUAGUUCUGUCAAAUCUAUUUUUUCUGCUUCCGGAUUCAUUGAGCGCUGCAGCAGCCCAUUGGAAGCUGAACUGAUAGCCUGCAAAGAGGGCAUUAUUAUGGCCCUUCAGUGGACCUUGUUGCCCAUCAUUGUGGAGUCUGGUUGCUUGGUGGCGGUGAAUAUGAUCCAGGCUGCGAAAGAGGAGAGGUCUCAGUUUGCUCAUCUGAUCCGGGACAUAGGGAAUUUGAUCUCAGGAGACAGGGAAGUCUUAAUCCAGAAAAUUUAUCGCACUCAGAACUGCAUUAGCCAUUUCCUAGCAAAUAAGGCCCGUGCUAAACUCUGUACAGAGUUUUGGCCGGAUGAAACUUGUAAUAUCAUCUCACAAUUUGUUUGUGAGGAGGCUGCUUCUGAGUAAUAUAUUUCCCUUUCCCUGCAAAAAAAAAUAUACUUAUAUGUAUACAUAUAGUUUUACAUAUUUCACAAAAAAAAUUUGAAUAAGACGAACGGUCAAACAUGUGCUAAAAAGUCAAUGGUGUCAAAUAUUUAGAAACGGAGGAAGUAUGUCAUAUGUGUGCCGCUAUUAACACCUGUUGUUGCAAUCGAUCGCAUACACUGUUACUAUCGCGUAGGUUGGUUGGAUCAUAUUCCUACGUCGGCGCAGACAUGGGCGCCGCGCGACUGUUAGGGUGUGUUUGGUUCCCGGUCAAGGUUGGAUGGGAUAUGGCGGUCCAUAUUUUGCUGGAUAUGGCGAUCUAGUUUUUUGUUUAGUGGAGUGAAUAUGACGAUCUAGUUUUUUGUUUGGUUGUAGGGAUGAAAGUGGAUAUGGUGAUCCAUUUUUUUGUUUGGUUGGGGGAGUGGGAUGGAUAAGUGGUUGCAAUCACCCUUUCAUUAGAGGUGGUGAGUAUACCCCUCCAAAUUCUCACCAAAAAAAUAUCAAUAUACUAAAAAAUCUAAAUAGAAAUAAAAAAGCAGAAAGGAAUAAAAGGGAAAGGAGACAAAAAAAAAAGAAAAGGUCGCCGCCGCCUGAAGGUCUCCGCCCUCGCCUGAAGGUCUCUGCCGCCGCCCCUCGCCUCCUCUCUCGCCGGCAACCCUGUCGCCGCGCCUCCUCUCUCUCACCUCGCCACCUCGUAUCCUCUCUCCCCGGCCGCCGUCGCUCGCUCUCGCCGGUGCCCUCCCAGAUCCGGUCGUCGCCGGCUCAUCUCCUUUCUCGUCGCCGAGCUCGUCUCCUCUCCCGUCGCCGAGCUCGUCUCCUCUCUCGUCGCCGGCUUGCCCUAGCCGCCGAGCUCGCGUCACCCUAGCCGCCGCCGUCGAGCUCGCCUCCAUGGCGUCGCCUUGCCUGGCCGCCGAGCUCGCCUCGUGGUGAGAGGGGUGACGCGACCCACAUGUCGUUCGCCCCUGCUCGCCCGAGCGCUCGGGCGGCUGCAUCCGGCCGAAUCGGCCGGAUCCCCCCAUCCGGCAUCUAGGGGGAAUAUUCCCCUCCGGGCCGCCCUAUCCCACCUCCGCUCAGGAACCAAACACCCAAAAAAAAAUGGGCUGCCAAGUUGAGGAUUGCGGAUUGCGGUCAGGAGAUGGGACCCACCAUCCAAACACAGUUGAGGAUUGCGGUCGGCGGCCUCGAGAUGGGACCCAUAUGCAAGUGAGCGCCACCUUCUUCCUCCACACCCACCCCUCUCUCUCUCUCUCUAGUCUCUAGGUGUGUGAUUAAUAAAGUCAUUAAACCGACAUGCUAAGGGGCCAUCUGGGAAUUGGGACACAGGACUACUAUCAAAUGGUCCAAUUUGGCCUUAUUCUAUAUAUACUCUUCUCACUAAACAAACGCGAGUACUGUAUACAAAAGAAGACUAAAAAUGAUGUUUUUCUUAUUUAAUUUUGUCUACCAAUUUGUGCUCUGCUGACCUGGCCUGAGUGUGACGUUGAAGCUUGUUUGACAACGACCAUGCAUUCUGAUCGAUCUCUUUGUGAUGGGGUAACAUUAAUGUGAUGCUUCUAAUGUCCCUUAAUUUACCAAUCGUGGGCGCCGCGCGACUGUUAGGGUGUGUUUGGUUCCCGGUCAAGGUUGGAUGGGAUAUGGCGGUCCAUAUUUUGCUGGAUAUGGCGAUCUAGUUUUUUGUUUAGUGGAGUGAAUAUGACGAUCUAGUUUUUUGUUUGGUUGUAGGGAUGAAAGUGGAUAUGGUGAUCCAUUUUUUUGUUUGGUUGGGGGAGUGGGAUGGAUAAGUGGUUGCAAUCACCCUUUCAUUAGAGGUGGUGAGUAUACCCCUCCAAAUUCUCACCAAAAAAAUAUCAAUAUACUAAAAAAUCUAAAUAGAAAUAAAAAAGCAGAAAGGAAUAAAAGGGAAAGGAGACAAAAAAAAAAGAAAAGGUCGCCGCCGCCUGAAGGUCUCCGCCCUCGCCUGAAGGUCUCUGCCGCCGCCCCUCGCCUCCUCUCUCGCCGGCAACCCUGUCGCCGCGCCUCCUCUCUCUCACCUCGCCACCUCGUAUCCUCUCUCCCCGGCCGCCGUCGCUCGCUCUCGCCGGUGCCCUCCCAGAUCCGGUCGUCGCCGGCUCAUCUCCUUUCUCGUCGCCGAGCUCGUCUCCUCUCCCGUCGCCGAGCUCGUCUCCUCUCUCGUCGCCGGCUUGCCCUAGCCGCCGAGCUCGCGUCACCCUAGCCGCCGCCGUCGAGCUCGCCUCCAUGGCGUCGCCUUGCCUGGCCGCCGAGCUCGCCUCGUGGUGAGAGGGGUGACGCGACCCACAUGUCGUUCGCCCCUGCUCGCCCGAGCGCUCGGGCGGCUGCAUCCGGCCGAAUCGGCCGGAUCCCCCCAUCCGGCAUCUAGGGGGAAUAUUCCCCUCCGGGCCGCCCUAUCCCACCUCCGCUCAGGAACCAAACACCCAAAAAAAAAUGGGCUGCCAAGUUGAGGAUUGCGGAUUGCGGUCAGGAGAUGGGACCCACCAUCCAAACACAGUUGAGGAUUGCGGUCGGCGGCCUCGAGAUGGGACCCAUAUGCAAGUGAGCGCCACCUUCUUCCUCCACACCCACCCCUCUCUCUCUCUCUAGUCUCUAGGUGUGUGAUUAAUAAAGUCAUUAAACCGACAUGCUAAGGGGCCAUCUGGGAAUUGGGACACAGGACUACUAUCAAAUGGUCCAAUUUGGCCUUAUUCUAUAUAUACUCUUCUCACUAAACAAACGCGAGUACUGUAUACAAAAGAAGACUAAAAAUGAUGUUUUUCUUAUUUAAUUUUGUCUACCAAUUUGUGCUCUGCUGACCUGGCCUGAGUGUGACGUUGAAGCUUGUUUGACAACGACCAUGCAUUCUGAUCGAUCUCUUUGUGAUGGGGUAACAUUAAUGUGAUGCUUCUAAUGUCCCUUAAUUUACCAAUCGUGAUAGCGCUCGGCCGCUGGCAACAGUAUUCCUGAAGUUUUUCGCCAAUCAGGUGGUGAUGACCUUGAUCUGGUGUCCCUUGUGUUGGUCUAACAAUCCAUUUGUCGUAUACAAAGGCUCGUUUGUCAACUCGGCUUUGCAUAUCUUUAUGCGUGGGAUGUUUCCAGGAGUGCAUGCAUUUGCAUCGUACUUGACGUAAUAGAUCUCCCUGAUGAUUAUUGUACUGCUAAUAUAGUGGUAGUUGCAAUGUCCCGUGGUGUCAUGGUGAGACCGUGAGAGAGAAAGAUCUACGGAUUUUUUAUGUUUAAGUCUUUUAAGAAAAUAUAUUUUAUAAAUUGACCAUUACAAAACUUAUACUAGUAGAUAUGGGAUAUCCCAGGCCAAAUAUGCUGGCGCCGAACCUCAUCGCUAGUCAUUUUUGGUGUCAACCUCUCCCACAUAAGAAAAACUCGUUUUUCCUUCAAAAUCUUCAGUCCUAAUUCAUUUCCGGUAGAUUUUAUUUUUAAAAUAUCUAGAUGAGGAUAUGAUGUGGGUCCCUAGCUCUUUCCCAUCGCAAUUUUAUUGAUUUUUUUAAUCAGAUUUUGAUUUAGAAAAGAUAAUUGAAUUAGGACACAUGAUUUGUAAUUCUUUUCAAAAAGUUUGACAGAAUUUGGGUGCAAGGAGUGAGAGGGGGAUCGUACACCGUUAUCCCAGAUUAAGAUUUUAUAAAUAUUACUCCCUCUGUUUCAUAUUAUAAGUUGUUUGACUUUUUUUCUAGUCAAAUUUUGUUAAAUUUGAUUAAGUUUAUAGAAAAUUUUAGCAACAUAUAAAAUAUUAAUUUAUUUUCAUUAAAUCUAACAUUGAAUAUAUUUUGAUAUAUGUUUGUUUUGUGUUGAUAAUACUACUAUAUUUUUUCUAUAAAUUUGAUCAAACUUGAAUAGUUUAAGUAGAAAAAAAGUCGAACAACUUAUAAUAUGUAACGAAGGGAGUACAAUAUAUUGAUUUACCAGUUUUUCUAAAAUUUGACAUCAAAUCAAUAGGAGGGGUUGGCACUAAACCGAUUGGCGCCUCGGCACGAAGCAUAUUUGGCGCGUCGUAGACAUCCCACCUCCGUGCCAACGUCCUUAGCGCUGGGUACAUAUUUGCAAUAAGUUUUCUAGAUAAUUUCUUUGUAAAAUAUGUUUCUUAAAAGGGCUAAAAUGUGAAGAAAAUCAGACAAGAUCUAGCUAGAGAGCUGAUACGUGAGUAAUGCAUUACAGUUGCAAUUGCGAAAUCGCAAGUUGUAAUAUGUUUCGUUGCGGCCCUAAAACGUGUACCUAAAACGCUUAGAUAAACAAUUAGAUAAACGCUAGAUAAUCGACGUAAUAAUGAGGGUUCAACUGGAUGGAACUGGGCAGUGGGCACUUAAAAAAUUGUUUGAUUAGGACGGUGGGCCCUGUUCAAACUAGUAUCAUGUGUAGUACAAGUAGGAAGCUUCCUAGUACUCCGAUGCAUUGAUGAUUUUUUAGAUAACGGCAUUGAUGAUUUGAUGUGAUAGUGGCAGUCUAAAUGCCUAAAAAUCAUUCUUUUUUUUAAAAAAAUAGCUUUGCAUAUCAUAUUCGAGUUGGAUUGUCGUUGAAAAGCUGAGAUAAACCGGUGUUGCACAUCUCUGGUUGCCUAUAUAUACCCCAGUAACCCAGUUGGUGUUUCGUCAUGAGCAACGAAAACCCCAAUUAAACAAGUGCAAACCUGUCUUCUGUCCUCCACCUUAGAUUUUCCGGCCAGAUUCGACGAACUGAUCGAUGGACGCCGCCGCCGCUGCCGAGAUCGCAGCCAAGCUGCGCGUACUCGGCGUCUGCGCAGCCUCGACGGCGAUCACCUUGGCCGCCGCAGCCGCCGCCGCCGCCACAUGCGAGCCGCCGCGCUGUGCCCUCGGCAACAGCAUGUGGUACUACUACUACCUCGUGCUCUCGGGGACAUUCCUCGCAGGGAUGAUCCUGAUCGGCGCUUCCGUCUGGGUGUCCGACGACGACCCACGACGGCGGCGGGGUUGCGCCGGCAGCAAGUUGCUGUACGCCGCCGCCCCGCCGCUCAUCGUCGCCGUCGUCGGCCUAUCCUUGUGGCAGCUCUACACUGCCGCUGCUGGUAACUUCUGAUCCCGUACGUCUCGUCGGCCCGCGCCCUACAUCACUGCCGCGCCCGCCGCUUCCUCCAUCAGCCCAUCGGAGACAACACAAAUAGCUAGCCUAGUAGUUUGUUUCGUGCUGAUUGGAAUGUUUUCUUUGCUAGUUGGCCUACGUUGUUUUUUUUAAUGAAUCGGUGAGCCGCCAUUUUCAUUGCAUAGAGGAGAAGUAAAUUUUACAAGUAUGAAGGAAAACUUUACUUCUUCUCUAUUCAAUGUAGAAAUUGAUGGCUUGUUCAUUCGUUAAAAAAAAACAGCAUCUACGUUGUGCUAGAGUAUACGAAUAGAAUAGAAUCGAAUUGUAUCCGGUUUGUUAUGUUAAGAUAGUAUUAGUUUUCUUAUCUAUCUCUCUGAGUUUGCUAGAGAUCCGAUGUAUGUAACCUAUAUAAAUUGGUCCCUGAGGCUCAAUAUAAUGUGUGUAAAUAUAUAUUUACAGUAUUUUCUCUCUUCCUAUACUACUCAAACGUGUUGCGCUUGUGUGUAUCACCAUAUAUCCAUUUGAAUAUUUGGCUAUAUUAAUUCCAGCUGCUCAAGCACAUUUGGGAAGAAUUAAAGGGAGUUUUUUUUUUUGUUUUUUCUGAUUCAGCCGGCCGGGUGAUAGGUUUUCAUUAUUUUGUUUCUAUGAGAGAGAAGCAAAUUAAAGGGAGGUUACCUUACCAUUUCAUGGCGGCAGAAGCAGAAGUAUUGGUCGUUGCAGCACGCCCGGAAGCGUGGGCCGGCGCUCCGGCGGCCAAUCGGCGACGGCGGCUGCGGAAAGUCGCGUCCCACGGGACAACACCUCCGAAGAAUGUGUUUUCCGGGGCAGAAGAUGGUGGACAUGACUGGAACGUGGCUGCUAGUGUUUCGGCCUUGGAGAAGAGAGAAGACUGGGCGGCGAGCUCCGGUGGCGAACGUGAUAAGGUGAGCGCGUCAAAACGUGUUCCCGGAUGAGAAGGUUCCAUUUUUGUGGUUAGUUGAUAGAGACGAAGCACGAUAGGAGCUCGACACAGGUACGGGGAGAAGGGGAAAAAAUAAGGGGUAGCCUCACUGUCUGGAAGAGGCUGGGUGGCGCGAGGAGACGACGAGCGAUAACCAACGGCGGCGACGGAUCGGCUUCACAGUCGGCCUUGGCUGCGGCUAGAGAAAUUCUUGGGAUGGAAACGAGUUUAGCGUUUGGAUGUCUUGCAGAGAAAUAGAGAAGGUGAUUUAUUUAGGCUCCUCUGCUCAUUCACUUUGAAGGGGAGGAGGACUAGAGGUGGGGAAACAAAUGGCACUGUUUGGUGGAGCUUGUCCCAGCUACAGCUUUUCCCAAAAGCUGCUUCUACUAGAAGCUGCCCCAAACAGUCCACAGCUUCUGAGAAUCUGUAGUUAUAUAUUCUGAAAAAUGAACUAAGAAGCCAGAAGCUGAAGAAGCUGGGUUUCAGAGCUUUUCCAGAUUCUCAGAAGCUGAACCCAGAGCUUUUCCAGAUUCUCAGAAGCUGUCUAUCAAACAACUGCUUCUCAGAAUCUAAAACUCCCCAAACAGGCGGGAUGGCUAUGAGUAAAUGCAUGGCUGUUUCGGAGGCGGCUCGGGUGGGCACAUGGAUGGAGCAGCGCAGCGAGGCAACACGCGGCUAUCGCGCGGCUGCCUCAGCUGGGCCAACAACAGCUGUGGGCCGGCACGGCCCAAACAGAGGGAGAUGGUUGGAGGAAGUGAAAAGAAAGGGUGAUGGGCUGGGUUGAGGUAGAUUUCAGCCAAGGGAGAGAGAGUGAUCCAUUUGAAUUUUUCACGAAAUUUUUGAAUAGAUCUUUGGUAGGAUAUUUUCAAAUAGUAAUGGAUGGGAUUUGGUAUCUUGGAAUAUUUGCAUGAUGACUCUGGGCUAACUUCAAAUAAACACAAACUCUUCUGAUGGUUUUGAAAAUUUAAUCUGUGAUAUCUCGGAUUUGGUUUGGAGAGGGAAACUAAAAGAAGUUAUGCGCAGGGUGGAAACUUAGAGGGAACAAAAGGAAUAUAAGAAUUGGGAGGCUCCAAUUCGGAAGAAUGAAGAACAACGAAUUUAAAGAAUUUCGCAAAAAAAUUACCCUGAAAAUUCUAGUAUGUUACAGUAUUCUAGUUUUUUUAUUUUAUAUUGGUAUGUCUGGGAUAAAUUAAAAAUGAAUUCAUCUUGCAACGGAGGGAAUAUUAUGCUAUUUUCUUUUAAAAAAAGUUGCAAAAGGAUAAAUCAUAUUAAAAAUAAGUGGUGGUUAGGGGAAAUAAACUAGUACGGAAGAUAUGUGAAGGGCGUCCACCAAAGUGGAGCUCAAGGCGUCGGCGACCUGCAACACAAGGUCUCCUUGCUUAGCUCUCCAAUGGUGGCGUAGGUCGCAAGGACAUCGAGCGGUGGCAAGGUUGCUUGGAGGCAUGUAGAGAAAAAGAGAAGGAAGAUGUGAUGUUAUUGAUAUAUCAACUACGCGGAGCUUGUCAGCGAGAGAGUGAGCCAUGCGGAGGCAUGCGCAUAGGGCGGAGAGGCACGUGAACUCCACCGCCAGUACCGAGUCGCCGUCACCGUGCGAUUGCUCGCGGGAGGUGGCCAGCGUGGGCUCGGCCACGGACCCAACCCCUUACUCGAGCACGAGGCCAGGGAAGCAGAGCAGCGGGAGGCCUUGCAGUCAUGGUGGGUCACCGUGCAAUGUCCAAGAUGGCAACGACGCUCUUGGACUUCCUUCGAGCCCUGGGCGGAUCUAGAAUAUAACAAGUGGGGGGCCUUGGUCCCCGUUCAAUUUUGCAGUAAGCGAGGGCAACACUUUUUACUUCCUUAAUCCACCUGAUCGGUAGAUCCUUGGCCUCCACUCAUGCUACUUUCUGCCUCCGCCGGCCGUUUCGCCACUUUCGACCGCGUCAUCCAGCGGUCCAUCAUAUCUCGCUAGUCGCAUACGUUGCCGCCUGUGAGGAGAGAGAGGGAGAGGUGGGAAUGUAGGACCCACCACGUAUUUCUUUUCAUAUCUCACUGACAUGCAGGUUUUAUUUGUGGAAACCACUUACCAGACCACUAAAAGAGUCUAUUUGCACCGGUUUUCGAAGAGGGAAAGCGCUAUAUGGAGGAAACUAUGGAUCGGUCGCCCGAUCCCUCUAAACAAAUUUGAGUGGUCAAAUAUUGCAGUUGACCAACAAAUGAAACAUUAAGUUAUAUACGGUAAACAAAAACAAAAUCAACAACUGAAAUAUUUUAAAAAAAUGUGAAACACGGUAAAAAUACACGUUGAAACAUGUCGCUAUCACGUAUAAAACAAAAUAUAGUCAUGCGUUUUUCUUUCAUCAAAAUAUAGUCAUGCGAUAUCUUAUUGUAAAUAUUUAAUUAUAAUGAAUACAACGAUGUGAUCGGAUCAUAGAUUGGGUAAGUAGUUUAAGAGAAAAAUCAUUUCGAAGAUUACUAAAAUGCAUAACUGAUGGAGUGUAGAUAGAUGAGAAAGAGUAGUGUCAUGUACUUCUAUGAAUUUUGUGGAACACACUGAAAACACUCCCUGAAACAUAUGAUUAUAAUGUAUGAAACAUUCUGUUUUAACGGUUUGAAACAAAUAUCUUUAUUUUAUGAGAAUAUAAUUAUAUGAUAUCUUGUUGGAAAGAUUUAAUUAUAGCAAAUGCAACCGUGUGAUCGAAUAUAAAUAGUUUAGGAGAAAAAAUAUUUAAAGAGAGGAGAAAAGAAGAAAAAGAAACUACUUCUUUCGUUUCACAAUAUAAGUCAUUCUAACAUUUCCCACAUUCAUAUUGAUGCUAAUGAAUCUAGAUAGAUAUAUAUGUAUAGUACCGGUUGUUAAAAUUAGGUCCGCUUGCCUAGGACUUGAUCUUGGUUUGGUACCAAUCCAUAACGAUCAAAGUCGAAUCGCGAGCCUGAAGCAAAUUCAAUGAAACAACAACCAUAUAGAAAGGGCCAUAAACAGGAUAGUCUUGACCAAUUUGAAAAAUCAUUUGGUGUAGUUGAAAUAACAGAAUUGGAAGUUGUUCGGUCAAGUAUAGGAAAUUAAUAUAAGAAUGGAUAACUUUCUCAAUGGUUUAUUUUCUUUCUUUUAUUUAUCUUAAUAUUCAUUCCAUUUAGGCCAUUCCAAUGCUCGCAAGCAAGCACGAAAAAGCUUAUAUUUCUAAACGGAAACGCCCAAUACAUCGAAACUCAUUACCCAUGGCCAGUCGAGAAAAAAAAUAAAACAAACAUGGUUUAGCGUAUUCGGAUUGUAACCAAGCAUCCUGGGUUCUAUACCAUAUUCAACACUAGAGCAUGUAGCCGAUCCUGGAUACAGAACUAUAUAAAGUGUGCAGUGAGGGAUCUUUAUUGGUAGCCAGUCUUUCACUUCCGCCUCUCCACUCCCAUGUCUUUCUUGGUCGGACCAACCCAACCGGCGAUUU
Molecule: long non-coding RNA, 34509 nt
Filed under: Oryza sativa (Asian cultivated rice)
Lineage: Eukaryota; Viridiplantae; Streptophyta; Magnoliopsida; Poales; Poaceae
Description: long non-coding RNA (OSAT_LNC001221)
Rfam family: MIR812 microRNA precursor family (bases 5791-5997)
Source: RNAcentral